Neodiprion fabricii is the source of this 283-nucleotide long non-coding RNA. RefSeq lists it as uncharacterized. The record is from RefSeq and is a predicted model, not a curated record. Lineage: Eukaryota; Metazoa; Arthropoda; Insecta; Hymenoptera; Diprionidae. The transcript has 2 exons.
GAGAUGGACAUGGAGACGAAGCUGAGCAAUUUUCUCUCAAUGACACCAAUGAUAAGGAAUAAUGCACUCAUAAUUGGAAGAAACGUAGAAUGUCGAUGGGCUUAUAAUAUAUGUCAGCGAUGUUCCUGUUCGUCUAUCCCAAGAUUUCUGUGUUCUCAGAUCUUGUAAAUCUUGGACCGUGCUUGCAACGAUCUUGCGAACGAUUCAUGUUACUCGGCUAGGCGUACCAUCCCUUGUCGCAUUUACAAGGUAAAUAAACUGUGUAGCUGUAGCUGUGUAGCUU